CAAUAACGUAUAUUAAAGUUGUUGCGGUUAAAAGCUCGUAGUUGGAUUUCUGCUUAGGAGAACCGGUCCGUACCUUAGUACGUGCAUCUGGCUUGUCCUGGGCAUCCUCUGGCGGUACGACUUGCACUUUGUUGUGUGAUCGGAACGGCAGACUUUUACUUUGAGGAAAUUAGAGUGUUCACGGCAGGCUUGCGCCUUGAAUAUAUUAGCAUGGAAUAAUAAUAUAGGACCUUGGUCUUAUUUUGUUGGUUUCUAAGACUGAGGUAAUGAUUAAUAGGAAUAGUUUGGGGGUAGCUUGUAUUGACUGCGUCAGAGGUGGAAUUCGUUG
This 328-nucleotide ribosomal RNA is filed under the name uncultured eukaryote. RNAcentral's name for it is "bacterial SSU rRNA". It matches the Rfam family "Eukaryotic small subunit ribosomal RNA", at positions 592 to 923 of the family's 1831-position model. The record is from RNAcentral.